CGCAAGUCGAACGAGAUUUUCCGUUGUAGCAAUACGAUGGAAAGUCUAGUGGCGAACGGGUGCUUAACACGUGGGCAACCUGCCGAGAAGUGGGGGAUAGCUCGCCGAAAGGCGAAUUAAUACCGCAUGUGAUUAGAGUGGACAUCCAUUCGAAAUUAAAGUCGGGGCAACCUGACGCUUCUUGUGGGGCCCGCGGCCUAUCAGCUAGUUGGUGAGGUAACGGCUCACCAAGGCUUUGACGGGUAGCUGGUCUGAGAGGACGACCAGCCACACUGGGACUGAGACACGGCCCAGACACCUACGGGUGGCAGCAGUCGAGAAUUUUUGACAAUGGGGGAACACCUGAUCGAGCGACGCCGCGUGGAGGAUGAACGUCUUCGGAUCGUAAACUCCUGUCAUUGGGGAACAGUGCGUGACGCUUAACUG
Molecule: ribosomal RNA, 426 nt
Filed under: uncultured bacterium
Lineage: Bacteria
Description: bacterial SSU rRNA
Rfam family: Bacterial small subunit ribosomal RNA
Source: RNAcentral